RNAcentral lists this long non-coding RNA (3045 nucleotides) under Zea mays. RNAcentral's name for it is "long non-coding RNA (ZMAY_LNC000542)". The record is from RNAcentral. Lineage: Eukaryota; Viridiplantae; Streptophyta; Magnoliopsida; Poales; Poaceae.
UUUAUUUCUAAAACGGAAGGUUAUUACAUAGGAACAGUUACAUUUAUUACAAGUCCUGAUAUACUCAAAGUGCAUAACUUAUUACAAUAUCAGGAAGGUAGGAACCCUCCAAAGCUUAAACAUAAGCCUAACUAAUCUUCCUCCAGAACUGGAAACACCCUCCAGCCUUAGGAACACCUAGAGUACUCCUCAUCACCUACAACAACAUGGGUUCGAAAACCCUGAGUACGAAGUGUACUUUCGCAAGUCUUAGCCGACUAAGAAAAAUGACUCUCAAGGAUAUGCUGGUUAAAUAGGAAUCAAGGAAAAGGCUUUAGCAAGAAUCAACUUAGAUACUUUUGCAGAAAUAACUUACUAUAGUGAGUCCUUACUUUCAAUAUUUUAACGUCAGAUUAAAUAUUAAUAGACUCUGGUUGCAUCUAGUCUAAUUUCACCAUCUCAUCAAUACAACAUCAUUUUUAUUCAUAAUGUUUACAUCCUGACUUAGGUUGCAGGUCGGAGAUCAAGUCUCCACUCUCCGGGGAUAUAACGGCGAUCCAAAUCGAUUUACUCAGCUGAGGAUCUCUAACCACACGACAUAUGUAGCACUUAACCCUUGCAUAUGUCAGCCGUUCCCACAAAUCCUCCACAACGUGAACAGGUCCGCGCCACCCGAGAGCACACCACCGCUUUUAGGCGGUACUUUGCCAGGAGGGUACGUGCCACUCUUGCCAUCUCUCCACUCACAGUGCGCGAUUGUCUUUUCAUGUAUGGAAUAGUCGGGUUCAAGCUUACCCUGUCCCAUAUCGUGGCCAGUUAAGAUAGUCCUUGAUCAUACAGGCCUACAUACGCAUCCAAUCCUUAAUUAACCUGGGUAGAACAUCACAUGUUCCUAGCCCAAGUCCCGAUUUAAGUACUUCCAUCCUUAGAAUUGUUUGUGUUCCUUAGGAUGAAAAGAGCAUUAUAGGGAACUUUGCAGUAAGAUCCCAUCAUGCUCCCAAUGAAAAUAUUCUUGCAGGUAUAAGCCAUCCUUCCUCAGGAUAUCCCCUGAGCUAGGCAUUAAUGCAAAAGACAACCUCUAUCCACAAGAUCUAAGCAGGGCUAAGCAUUUUUGUAAAUUGUAUUUUGAUACUUCAUCAGAAGUAUCUAUAAAGGUAUGGAUAUCAAGGUAGGCAAUGCAUCCAAUAGUUUCCAAGCAACUCCUAUAAACUUAAUGCACAUUUCACUAGACUUAAAGUGUAUAAAAAUCUUUUAAAAAUACAAGGAAGGGGUAAAUGCACCGGGGCUUGCCUUAUUGCAAUGAAGAGGUUCCAAAUCCCUCUAUUAAAUACCCAGUUAGAUGGCUCCCAUCACUUGAUGAGCAAGCACUGAAGCAGACUCCUCUUCCGAAACCACUUCUUGAAUUUCAUCUUCUUCUUCUAGGAAUUCUACAUGUAAAGAUAUGAACAUGAAUGCUUAUGCUUAUGCAACCUGAAAAGAAAAUACUAAAAAGCAUCACAAGAAUUACACCUCUCUAAAGGUGCACACAAAAGCUAACAAAACCUUAAGAGAGCUAAAUACUCUAAUAUCACAACUCAAUUUACCAACCAAACUAGAAAACCUUGCUUCCAUAACCAACCAAGUACUUCAUUUAUGCAUUAAGCAAGGAUCCACACUGCAUGUACUACAAGUUAUAGUGUCCAAGAAUCAGCCACAAUUCACUGAACCUGUUUUCGUUUCUCUGAAUUCAUCUUCUAGUGCUCCAUUCCUCUCCCUCUGUUCAGUGCUUUGUAACUCACAAAUUCCCUCAACAACAAACCCAACUCAUUUACUCAAAGUUAUUCUCUAGACAUAGCUCUACCAACUUGGUAUAGAAAUCACAGGUUGAAAAUGUUUAGAGCAAGAGUUAUGGCAAUCCAAAGUUAAGCAGAACACUGAAAAUUUAGUUUCUAAUUUCUGAAACAGCACAAUACUGAGUCCGAUAGAGGGUUUUGCAGCAGGCUAUUCUCUAAAUUCCAUACAGUACCAAGCCCACUCUUUGCACAAAACUUGUUCAUCUAUAUCUGGUCUCUCAUUUUGCUACAGACUCUUAACCCAAAUAUCUUUGGAUUUAUUACCACAAGGCUCCAAAGUUGGGUAAAAACACACAUAUCCAGACUUAAAUAUUAUUCUAAGUCUGAAUCCCAACACCUGACAGUCCAUCUUUUGGCCACUUUUACUCCCAAAUUUAUGUGGAACCAGGUCCAUCUAACUUUAGCAAACUUGUUUACUUUACUAUGGUCUACAACUUUGCUAUGGAACCCUUAAUCCAAAACCCCAUGAAUCAGUCACAAAUGAAUUCCAAACUAGGCAUACUGCUGCAAUUCAGUUCACAGAACUGAAUAAAAAUUCAGUUUUGUGUCCAGCCUGACAGACCAACUUUAGCCAACCUUUUCUCCAAUUUUUACACAGCAACAGACCAAGCUCACAUUACCAAAGUUAUUCCUUAGAUAUAGCUCUACUACUUUGGUAUAGCACCCCUAGGUUGAAAACAUUUAGAACAAUUUUUAUGAAGCACCAAAGUGGAGCUCAACACACUAGAACCUAGUUUCAGUCUUCUGCACUAAGUCUGGGGUCCAAAAAUCCAACAGCCUAUUUUUUUAGCAAAUUUUACACCUAGUUCCCAGCAACAGACAGUGAUAGAGUACAAGUAGUAAAUGGUGUGAGCUUCACUAACCUUUGUCGAGCAUGGAACAAGUAGUACACGGUCAAGAAUACUUGUGGGAAGCCUUGUCCACGGGGAGGUGAAGAACGGUUGGGUUUGGUCACCACAAACAAGAGGUUGGCAUUCAGCUCUGGAGUAAAGCAAAAUUGGUGGCUGAAAGAGAGGAUGCACACCAGCAAGAAUACCAGGACUCCAGCACCUUUGUAGUGGACUGGGACUAGAGCUCGAGAACAAGGGAGAAAAGCUUUUCUGAACUCAGCCGUGGAACACACUGAAUAAAUAGGCAUGGGGAGGGGUCACUGAGCUCAUCCACAAUUCAGUGCAAGAAUACAAGGGAUGCCAACACAGCAUACUAUAUGACGUGGCUCCCAUGCACUAAAUGC